CUAGCGACUUCAGAGUUUGAUCCUGGCUCAGGAUGAACGCUGGCGGCGUGCCUAACACAUGCAAGUCGGGCGGGAUUUUGCUGAAUGACGCUUCGGUUGAUUUCAGUGAAUGAGAGCGGCGGACGGGUGAGUAACGCGUAGGCAACCUGCCCUUUGCAGAGGGAUAGCCAUUGGAAACGAUGAUUAAAACCUCAUAAUGCCAAGUUCAGACAUCUUUACUUGGCCAAAGAUUUAUCGGCAAAGGAUGGGCCUGCGUCUGAUUAGCUAGUUGGUGGGGUAACGGCCUACCAAGGCGACGAUCAGUAGCCGACCUGAGAGGGUGAUCGGCCACAUUGGAACUGAGACACGGUCCAA
This 354-nucleotide ribosomal RNA is filed under the name uncultured bacterium. Its description in RNAcentral is "bacterial SSU rRNA". It matches the Rfam family "Bacterial small subunit ribosomal RNA", at positions 1 to 334 of the family's 1533-position model. The record is from RNAcentral.